RNAcentral lists this ribosomal RNA (492 nucleotides) under uncultured bacterium. RNAcentral's name for it is "partial 16S ribosomal RNA". It matches the Rfam family "Bacterial small subunit ribosomal RNA", at positions 30 to 507 of the family's 1533-position model. The record is from RNAcentral.
AUUGAACGCUGGCGGCAUGCUUUACACAUGCAAGUCGAACGGUAACAGGCCUUCGGGUGCUGACGAGUGGCGAACGGGUGAGUAAUGCAUCGGAACGUGCCCAGAGGUGGGGGAUAACGCAGCGAAAGCUGUGCUAAUACCUCAUGUGAUCUGAGGUUGAAAGCGGGGGACCAUGUAGCAAUGUUUGGCCUCGCGCCUCUGGAGCGGCCGAUGUCAGUUUAGGUAGUUGGUGGGGUAAAAGCCAACCAAGCCGACGAUCUGUAACUGGUCUGAGAGGACGACAAGAUGCAUGGCGGAUCCAACACGCCGAAGACUAUUGCGGGAGGGACCAGUGAGGUAUUUUGGACGAAGGUCGCAGACGUGUUCAAGCAAUACCGCGAGAGGGAAGAAAGUACUCGUGUUGGAAAACGCAUUUGUACGGAGUGAAAAGGCUGUGGAUAAUGCCUGGAGUUGAUGACGGUACCGGAAGCAUAAGCACCGGCUAACUACGUG